GAUGAACGCUGGCGGCGUGCCUAAUACAUGCAAGUCGAGCGGACGGACGAUAAGCUUGCUUCUCUGCUGUUAGCGGCUGGCGGGUGAGUAACACGUAGAUCACCUUCUUCUAUUACUUGGAUCAUUACGUGAGACCGGUUACAAUACCAGAUCAUAUUUUGAACCGCAUGGUUCAACGGAUCUUGACGUCUUGCUCUAACUUAUAGAUGGAUCUGCGCUUCAUUAGCUAGUUGGUUAGGUAACGGCCGACCAAGGCAACGAUGCGUAGCCGAUCUGAGAGGAUGAUCGGCCACACUGGAACUGAGACACGGUCCAGACUCCUACGGGAGGCAGCAGUAGGGAAUAUUGGGCAAUGGGCGAAAGCCUGAUCCAGCAAUGCCGCGUGGGUGAAGAAGGCCUUCGGAUUGUAAAGCCCUGUUAUUGGGGAAGAAAAGCAGUAGGUGAAUACCCCGCUGUUCUGACGGUACCCAAAGAAUAAGCACCGGCUAACUUCGUG
RNAcentral lists this ribosomal RNA (496 nucleotides) under uncultured bacterium. RNAcentral describes it as "partial 16S ribosomal RNA". It matches the Rfam family "Bacterial small subunit ribosomal RNA", at positions 28 to 507 of the family's 1533-position model. The record is from RNAcentral.